UGAGGAAUAUUGGUCAAUGGGCGAGAGCCUGAACCAGCCAAGUAGCGUGCAGGAUGACGGCCCUAUGGGUUGUAAACUGCUUUUAUGCGGGGAUAAAGUGAGGCACGUGUGCCUUUUUGUAUGUACCGCAUGAAUAAGGACCGGCUAAUUCCGUG
This 155-nucleotide ribosomal RNA is filed under the name uncultured bacterium. RNAcentral describes it as "partial 16S ribosomal RNA". It matches the Rfam family "Bacterial small subunit ribosomal RNA", at positions 355 to 507 of the family's 1533-position model. The record is from RNAcentral.